This 477-nucleotide ribosomal RNA is filed under the name uncultured bacterium. Its description in RNAcentral is "bacterial SSU rRNA". It matches the Rfam family "Bacterial small subunit ribosomal RNA", at positions 30 to 504 of the family's 1533-position model. The record is from RNAcentral.
UGAACGCUGGCGGUAUGCUUAACACAUGCAAGUCGAGCGAGAAAGUUCUUCGGAACGAGUACAGCGGCGGACGGGUGAGUAAUACAUAGGAAUCUACCCAGUAGCGGGGGACAACCUGGUGAAAACCAGGCUAAUACCGCAUACGCCCUACGGGGGAAAGCAGGGGAUCUUCGGACCUUGCACUAUUGGAUGAGCCUAUGUCAGAUUAGCUAGUUGGUGGGGUAAUGGCCCACCAAGGCGACGAUCUGUAGCUGGUUUGAGAGGAUGAUCAGCCACACUGGGACUGAGACACGGCCCAGACUCCUACGGGAGGCAGCAGUGGGGAAUAUUGGACAAUGGGGGAAACCCUGAUCCAGCAAUACCGCGUGUGUGAAGAAGGCCUGCGGGUUGUAAAGCACUUUCAAUUGUGAAGAUUGGUUACUUGGUUAAUACCCUUGUAGCCUGACGUUAACUUUAGAAGAAGCACCGGCUAACUCA